UACGUAGGGUGCAAGCGUUGUCCGGAAUUAUUGGGCGUAAAGAGCUCGUAGGCGGUCUGUUGCGUCCGCUGUGAAAACUCGGGGCUUAACCCCGAGCCUGCAGUGGAUACGGGCAGACUAGAGGUAGGUAGGGGAGAAUGGAAUUCCCGGUGUAGCGGUGAAAUGCGCAGAUAUCGGGAGGAACACCGGUGGCGAAGGCGGUUCUCUGGGCCUUACCUGACGCUGAGGCGCGAGAGCGUGGGGAGCGAACCGG
Molecule: ribosomal RNA, 253 nt
Filed under: uncultured bacterium
Lineage: Bacteria
Description: partial 16S ribosomal RNA
Rfam family: Bacterial small subunit ribosomal RNA
Source: RNAcentral